UUUCCCGGCCGGAUGAUCGCGCCGCCGCACCGCAAGGUCGGCGCCGAGGAAAGUCCGGGCUCCAUGGACAGACUGCCAGGUAACACCUGGGCACCUCGGUGACGGAUAGUGCCACAGAGAACAGACCGCCCCGCGCAAGCGAGGGUAAGGGUGAAAAGGUGGGGUAAGAGCCCACCGCGUUCGUGGUAACACGAAUGGCACGGCAAACCCCAGUCGGAGCAAGGCCGAAUAGGCGGCGAGGAGCAGUCCUCUUCGAUCAAGACGCCGCGGGUAGGCUGCUAGAGGGCGCGGGCGACCGCGUUCCGAGAGAAAUGAUCAUCCGAAGCAACACGCUUCGACAGAACCCGGCUUAUAGGCCGGGAAACUCG
RNAcentral lists this RNase P RNA (368 nucleotides) under Gemmatimonadota bacterium. RNAcentral describes it as "Gemmatimonadetes bacterium RNase P RNA component class A". It matches the Rfam family "Bacterial RNase P class A". From Rfam's summary of the family: Ribonuclease P (RNase P) is a ubiquitous endoribonuclease, found in archaea, bacteria and eukarya as well as chloroplasts and mitochondria. Lineage: Bacteria; Pseudomonadati; Gemmatimonadota. The record is from RNAcentral.